Molecule: transfer RNA, 75 nt
Filed under: Thermoplasmata archaeon
Lineage: Archaea; Methanobacteriati; Thermoplasmatota; Thermoplasmata
Also listed under: 1 other name
Description: tRNA-Asp
Source: RNAcentral
GCCCCGGUGGUGUAGCCCGGCCUAUCAUCCGAGCCUGUCGAGCUCGGGACCCGGAUUCAAAUUCCGGCCGGGGCG